Alligator mississippiensis (American alligator) is the source of this 12783-nucleotide long non-coding RNA. RefSeq lists it as uncharacterized. The record is from RefSeq and is a predicted model, not a curated record. NCBI's taxonomy places the organism in Eukaryota, Metazoa, Chordata, Crocodylia, Alligatoridae. The transcript has 4 exons.
AGCAACCAGAGAGACAGGAGCAGCAAUGCGAAGGGAAGCUUGACCGCAGGAACCCAAUCCUGCCAGGUCCUGAGCAUCCUCAGUCCACUGGGAUUUGAGGAUGUCGGACGGCUCAGAAGAUCCAGCCCUAUCUGGAGAGAUAGGAUCCUUCCUGUGUGUUAGUGCCUUGUAGCCUUUGGUAAAGGGGGAGCCUGACAAGGAAGAUAUGGUAUCUGGACCGCUUAUCUGGCUGUGAGCAUCAGAGACAGGGUAGCAGAGCACACAGCUUUAAAAGAGUUACAGCUGACAGAAAACAAAACUGGAUGAAGGCCAGAUGGUUGCAAGGUCAGAUGGGAUCAGUCCUACAUAACGGAGAAGGAAGACACAGGAAGAUAAUGCAGUGAAGAAAAAUGUCUUUGGUCCCAGGGGUUGCUGUGGGACUUGUAGAUGCUGUCUGCAGAUGCCCUGAAUCAUCUUCCUUAAAAUGAUGGGAGAUUUGAACCAGGGCACGAAAGCCAAAUCUUCUCUGUUUCCAUAAGAAAUGGCUGGGGGAUGGUUUCUCAUUUCUGGACAAAAGGAAAAUGAGAAAGAAACUCGCCUCCUGAAAGGCCAGUAGCCCUGGGUCAUGCUGGAGGCCGGAUUUAAGCCUGAGCUCCAUGUCGAGAAGAACCGGUGUUCAUUUUAGAGCUGUGAAUUGACUUUGCAUCUCCCCGAAGCCAGACCGGUGACUCAGUCCCCAAACCACACUCUGCGCCUGCAAGCUGGCAGUCCAAGGGAUGAGGGUAACCCGUGCUUUGUGGCUGCAGAGCCAGGGCUCCCUCCUGGUGCCCCGUUCCCAGGGGCGGCAUCACAAAAAGCCACCCCCAGCUUUGCCCGCGGUGAGCUCUGAUCUCGAGGUCCCCGAGAAGCUGGUGCGCAGAGCAGUGCGAGAGAUGAUUAUUGUGCCGGCAUGCCUACACAUCCUGCAAUGCACAUUUUAUUAGGUGCACACAAUGGUCACACUUGGGACAGGUGGUGUUCUCUGCGGGCUCCACUGCAUAGUCUCUCUUGCAUGUCUGCUGUGUACCCGGGCCCACUGGACACAUCUGCUUUGCACAUUUGCUGCCUCUUACUCCAGUGUCGGUGAGGGUCCCAACAGGGACAGCCAAUGACUGAUUCAAGUCCUUCUCCAGUGACUGAUUUAGCUUCACCAUCACUCUCAAAAGCAUAGAGGCAAUCCCGUGGGCUUUGCACAGUCUGCUUCUGAUAACCCAGAGCUUGCAGCAAGGGAGGGGGGAAUCAUUUUUGGAAGAACUAAAUCCCUGCCCUCCAUCAGCUGCUACCCAUUUCUAGAGCCCAGAGCCCAGCACUUGAGGCCUGCAGAACCUUAUAAUCUGACAUGAGUUUAAGCAUCUUUUUCUUUUUUUAAAUGCCAAGGAGUAGAUGUUUUGCUGACUUUUAUGGAAACGUGAAACUUGAGAGGGGUCAAAAUUGCCGGAAAGGGAGGAAAGAACAUUUCCACAAAAGACUUGCCCCCGGUGCUGCACCGUUGUGCUCCUGGCCGGUCCAAAUUGGGCCAGCCAGACAACGCGGUAAGCAAAUGGUGUCAUCCCCUUCCCGAGUCCACAACAACCGGCUCGCCGUGUAGGCGGCAGCUGCUGAUCCACAUGGAACAACCACGUCACACGCUGACAUGAAAUACGACACAGGCUGCUUGAUUCCUCCUGAUUGCAUUUCAGUGCACAAUUGUACCGCUUCUGCCGAAGUCCAGCAAUUUGGGUUGCUGGCUUCCUCCCUAAGCUGACCUACAAAUACCAGUUUUCAGGGGGAGAUUUAUGACCAAGCACAAAAUUACCGUCUUGUAAAAGCACAGAUCAGAGCUAUAAAUAGGGAUCUAGGAUAGGCAUGCAGAAACCCCCCCCCAGGGUAUAGUGACUCUUGCUUGGUCUGCACAAAAUAAAAUGGUGACCCACAUUCAGGCACUCAGGUAGUGCAUCCAUUGACAUUGCACCGGUUGAGGAGUUGGCCCCCAAUCCAAAUCUGCACCCUGAUGGAAAAACCAGGUGGUGAGAACGGCAGCAGCCAGACUCCACUGCAAUCGUGGGGCUGAAAACUGCAUCCUCUCUCAUCUUCUGUCCAUUUAUCUUGCUGCCCAGGAUGUUAAUAAGGUGCGGUUUAUGCUUUCGAUGAGUUAUUUAGCAGAGAAAGGUAUUCGCUCUCGGGAUAGUGUUGAUUAACCUCUGCAUGCUGAGUUACUUAGUAGGCUGAUGGAUUAAUCAUGUUUCCUAAUAAUCCUUGUCAGAUUUAAGCUUUUUGUUUCCCCUCUAUCUUCUUUUUUUUUAAAAGACAUGGAUGCAAACGUCGUCUUUUCAAGGGAGUGCAGAGAGAGAGAAGUAUAAUGUGCUGGUCGGAGUACGGGCCUACCAUGGAUCUGGGGAACCCAUGUUGCUCCAAGCCUGACGUUGUCUAUUAGACCCUUGUGUUUCUGAACAGUAAUGCUCAGGACCUCAACUUGCCAUUCAUAAAAAGCACUUGGCACUAUACAACGGUGAGGGUGUUAGUCAAUGAUACCCUUCUCUACCCAGGUAAUCAUCACCCCAAUGUUAACUCUACAGCCAUCAUUACUUCCCCAUGUGCAGAAGCUGACUCUGGUUGCUAGGACAAGCUGAAGUCUCUCUCUUAGCUGUCCCAUUAAGAGAAUAAUAGAGUCACUUUUAUGACUUUUCCUUUCAAAAUGACUUGAAGGUGCCAGAAAUGAACAAUUAAAUCAGCAAUGUUAUUCAUAAGCAGCAGCUAAGUACUUGGCACUGAUAUUCUGCUUUUUCUUUGGAUGCAGUCCUUGACAUGAAAUGGCACUCUGCCAGGGAAGUACUUUGCAUUGUUGAUCUUGAAAAUACAACAUGUGGCCAAACCACUUUGGGCUUAUGAAGAAAGGUGUUUGGGGAAUGUAAGAAAACAUUUAUAUAUCAACCAGGAGGCUUUCAGGGGGUGCUUCCAUGGCCAGGUGUCUCUGAUCGGAUGCUAGCUGGAUAGCAAACAGGAUUUGGAAACAGAGGGCUGCAAACAUCCAUUUAAACAGGACAUGCUAGGCCAAAGGGAGUCUCACAUAUUGUCAAUAUUUGCUAGUAAGCUGCCUGAGAAAGUCCAUGGAGACAGGGGAGGCUUUCUUCUCUCCAGAAAAUAUGCACGAGUUCAGCUGUUGUUACAGGAACAUGGAAGCACUAUAAGGUGUUGCCUGUUUCCUGGCGAAAACCAGAUUUUUGCAUAGUUUCAACCCAAAAUUGUAAAGUGCUUGAAAUGUGGCCAGGCACCCUGAAAUGUCCGUGCCUCUCGGUAAAUCUCUGGGCCCUUCCUUCUGUUUCCAGCUCGCUGUGAAAUCGGAAAUCAAGCGUGCUGGAAUUUGCAUAACGUUUCGGUUUGUCGUUCGCGUGUCCUAAUCCGCAGACCUGUUUCAUGUCCUGAAGUUUUGCUGGAUGUUAAGGAAAGGCAAGGAAGGGUGUGCGCUGCUCUACAGGGCAUGUUUAUCAUUGCUUAGCUGCUUAAUGGAAACCACUAAGCUGUAAGGAAUCACAAAAUGCUCAUCACACUAGAAUAUACAGAAAGGACAGGGGUAGCCUGUCCUAAUAAGCAAGGAGGCAUAUGCUUUGAAAAAUGUGGGGGGAAACUGUCACAAAAUAAUGCAGAGGGUGUGGGUUUGGGACAUCUGAUGACUAUUUUGGUGUCUGCUACCUAGGUCCAAAGAGCUGACUCUUGCAUCCUGAAGCUCUAGCGGGGAGGACUCAGAGGACUAAAUCAAUGACUUUAAAUAGCUCCAUUGGUCUUACUAAACCAUACAGGGGUUAAGAAAAGGCCUUUGAAAUGUUGCAUCCUUCCAGUGUGGUCACAGCAACCCUUUGGUGUGUGGCAGAAUAGAAACCAGACUUGGUGCAUAGACAGAAAGGAGAUGUCCUUUCAGAGGAGACACUCCCGAAGAUCAGCGGAUAGAGAGAGGCAGGGUCUGCAGAGAAAAGAUGGCAACCCGGUCCCCAGACCAGCACGGAUAACAAGGCCAAGUUGGACCUACCAAAGCCCAGAGGGAAAUGCUCCAGACUGGUGAUACUGGGACGGGUGUACAGAUGUACGUCCUGUUGUCAUUUGAACGCUUUUUAUUCUCAGAAGUGCAUUCCAGCGGUAGGUAACUACUGUCUUGCUUUGAAGAAACCUGGCGUUACAGCCUUUGCUUGCUGCUCGCAACCCCUGAAGCCGGGGCUGGAUGCAGCUGAACAUGUUGGGGAAACAUGGCUGGUAAGCGGGGUUGCUUUAGCUUGGACACCCAGUCUAAAAUCAGGGUGGGAUUUCUCCCCGAGACAAAUUAAUUCAGGUGUUGGAGGGGAAGCCCCCGGGAGGGAGGAGGGGUCCAAGCUACAGUGAACAGAAGCAGUAGGAUGCAUGCUAUAGGGUUACAUGCUAUAUUGCUGCCUUCUUCAAGAGCUUCCCAAACUAAAUAUAGCCUAGUCCUGGAAAAUUCAUCAGCAUGUAGGUGUGUAUCAUGGUGGGAGGAGGAGGGGAAGGAGGCAAUGAAAAGCUGCUGAGGGUGGUUUUGUGGAAAUACUGGAGAGACAGAAGCACAAAUUAGUCAUGGUAGAGACCACUGAGUCGUUGGAUCUAAUUUUUUGAGUGAUUCAUCCACAAGAAACCACCGCGUUGCCUGACGUCUUGCAAUUCGUUCUUUAUUUAGAAAGCAGCUCAGCUUUACCAUGAAUAUGUGGAUUUUGGUCCCAAUGGCUUUUUGAUAGCUAGGUGCCUGCGCCAUCCUUGUAUUAUCAUCAUUUCGAAAACCACGAAGUUCAAAGAAAAAGAAGAAGCAGCAAAAUUAUGGGGUUUCUCAUUCCUCAAGAUCUGGGUGGAAUGAAGCUAUAAUCUUGCAACAUCAAAGGGGAAUCUAUAGUAUGUGCCAUUUUCAAUGCCGAUAUUUGUGUAGCGAAGGUUUAGGAAGGGGAAGGCGGAGUGACUCUACAGCUCUGACUGCAAUGUGGUUAAUUGUGGACUGGACUGGAGUGAAAGCGGGGGAAUCGGAGGUGACGGGAAAAAUCGGUGGGCCUGAAAGGCUCGGAAAUCUAGGAGAGCAAGACUAUGGUUUCCAGAAGAGCUGAGGUCCGCUAAUUUAACUUCUCAUUUAGAGGCACGUAGCAGCAUGCAAAAAGCCAAUCGUUGCUGAGAAAACCAUGCAUUCAGGCUCCAACAGACGGGUUGUCGGGUGAACUUGUGACACUAGAAACAUGCAAAAAAAAAGUACUUGCACAGAAGGGUAAGACUUACAUUUCAUCUGCUGGUUUGGCUUUUGCUCAGCCAGAUGGAUCUCUGGGGGAAAUCACAGGAGCCUUUCUUGUGGAUAUGCGUAAGGAAACAAUCAGAGAAGUGCCAAAAUCCCGAUGAAAACUUUCCCACCAGAGAUGCACCCAAAAAGUUCAGACCCAGAGCUAAAUGCUGGGGCUUGGGCCCAUCUCUAAACUUCAUAGACAUGAUGAUGAUGGACACCAUGCAACAAAGAAACUCGGCUGUUGCUUUGAUAACAACAAUCUCUAUUGAAUGCAAGUUUAGUCUAACUAUAGGCUGAAGAAGGAUCUUUCUGAGCUAACUCCGGCAAGGACCACAACCCCCUGAGCAAAUUCAUGGUUUUCUGCACUGCUUAUCUGACCCCUCAAACUCCCAAGUCCCAAUCUGGUGCUGUGACCACCAUCCUUAUGGCCUCCGAGGAUUGUAUUAGACAAGCUAAAUCCCUGGCAAGCUGCGACAUCAGGGAACAUGCGUUUGUGCAGCACCCAGAAAACACAUGGUGAAAUCCCGGCAGAUCUCUCAGGCUGCAAAAUAUCAUGGCACCAGUCCUGGAGGGAAGCAUCAAAUGAAAAUGUUACAGAGGUGAACUGGAUUCAGAUGUCCCACAAGGUCACUUCUGUUCAAACCAUACCCCCCUUGCACUUCUGUCCACCAGCACCCUCGUGGCAUGCAGUAGGCUUGAAGUCAUUAGCAUUUGGGACUCGGCUAAAGGGAAGGCAAUAACACUGGAAAAAGAGAGGAGUGGAAAAUCUGCUCACUUUAUUAAACUAUUUCCUGUGAAAACAAUUCUCUUUGAUGAUUAGGAGAAAAACAAACUCCGCCUUAUUAUUUAUAGGCCACGGUGAUUUGUUUCUUCCCAACGGGGUAUGUCCUAGUGUCAUCGGCUGGCAGGGACCAGGCUUAUUUCUUACUCCGUGCAGCGGAAAUCUGGAAAAAGGGGCGCAUCUGAGGCCCCAGCCGCUUGUGGCAAUGUAAUCAUGUUAUAAAAAAUUGGACUGUGAAGUGAAAACAAGCAGCUGACCAGAGCGAGGAUGUAUUAUUUUAUUUAUGCAUCUGUAACUGUCUUUCUGGAAGAUGAGCUGUAAUCCUUCAGCAUGGUCGUGUAUUUUCCAUGUUCUGGACUGCUCAGACAAAGCAUAUUUUGGUGUGCCGCCCGCUGAUUGAAUCAGGCUGAAUUCCCGGUAUAAGUUAAAUCGCUCGGUGCCAUAUGAGGUGUUUUUAGUGCAACGUGAUCGGGUUCCCCUUGUGUCAUCAGAAAUACAUACUGUGCAGCAAAUAGAGAUAGACCUAGAUUCAGAGCCAUGACUGAACAACUUUGUCUGGAGGUUUUACCCCUCUUCUUCCACUUUUAAUUCCUUUAAUUAGCAUUCCUGUAGUGCCUAAGAGCUCCAGGCAGCAUACACCAGGACCUCACCUGCUUGGUGCUAUACAAACACCGCACAACAUGACCACCCGUGCCCCCACAGUGCUAUUUUUCUUGUCUAGAUUUGAUUGCGGAGGUGAAAUGUUCCUGCAAAUGAAGUGUGAACUACUAUCAAGACAGAAUGGCAAAGUUUUGCACCCGGGAUAAGUGCAUGCUCAGGACUGAUUCUGCGUUGGCCUUUAUCUGGGGCCGUCUUACAGAUGUGCAGAGCACCUACUACAUUUGGGAUAAGUAGAUCAUCUUCUCCCUGAUUCAUGCUGAGUUGCAUCUUACUCCAAGAAUGGGUCACUUGAUAUCAGUCGAGUUCACGUAGGAAGAUCUGGUCUAAUAAUAAUAACCAUACAUCUUCCUGGUCUGAAUGUUGUAGCUUGUUCAGAAAAGUGGAAGCAAUAGACAGUCUAUCAUUAAUAAGAGGAAGGAGGAAUAAAGAGAAGUAAACUCCCAUGACAUGGAUUUUGAUUCCUUCCCCAGGUUCCAGGCUACGUUGCAGACUGUGCCAAGUCAGUUUGGUUCGCUCCUACUUCUUUUCCUGUCUUCAUCUCCUAUUUGCAAUACCUUCUUGGAAGCUGGAACGUCAGCAGCUCUCCAAGAUAGCUUUGUCCUUUGACAUUUGGCAGAGGAGGGUUUUUUCCAUCAUGUGCAAUGGAAGCGGAGCGAGCGGUUUGUUUUGAACAGCCACCUUGAUUUCAGCAGAGCCGGCUGCCAGGCCGAUCUCUAUCUAUCUUCGUGCAUCUUGGUGGAUGUGGGACUCGCACAGCUGUGAAGAUGCCGUGCGUGGAGGCUGCCCAGCUGCGAAACAUGCUGGAUUUUGCAAGUCCUGCAAAAAAAGAGAGAACUAUGCUUUCAUUGUCCGGUCCUAGAGAAGUGAUUUUGUGGAGGGAGGCCCUCUUCAUUGCUCCCCUGCUUGUUUUCCCUUAUGUAAAAUGAGGUUUAUCCCUGCUUUGGUGGGAAAGAGAUUUUGAUGUUUAAUUAAUUGUUCAUAAGAGGCUUUGAAUACAGGCAAUUAUGGCAGUGAAUUUUCUUUCUAGUUGGGAACUUCCAGAGCUCUUGCUAAUGAGAUUAGAACAUAAAUUUGGAGCCUAAAUUACUUGUUGCUUUUUCCCUUCUUAUUUCGAGAGCGCCUGUUUUCUAGGGAGUUGGUUUGUGGCAUCUGGCAAGUAACCGUUACGGUAGGCAAGCUCUGGUUCUGAUCUCAUCACCCAUUUUAGUCCAUUGAUGCCCAUGGAGUUAAGUCUGAUUUACACCGAUGCAACAAGGGAGAGAGUCAAGCCCGCAGUUUGUGCAUGUGAAAAAAAAGAAAAAGAAAAUCCUGCCUUAAUUUCACACAGAAAUGGAGGCAAAGCUAAGCAUGGAAAACUGCCCGACACAAUUAGGGAAGGUUUUUUUUCCAUCAGCAUAAUACUGUUUUGAAUCUGGGCCCCAGUUAGAUGGCAAUGCUUGCCGCUGUGAUCUAUGAUUUUCUGUUUCUUGCCUUGCUUUGUGAUUCACUAUCGCUCAGCUUUCCUUCAGGUACUUUUACUAUAUAGUGCCUAGACAAGAAAUCAGAACUAGCAGAAUUGCAAAUCAAGGUUUCUGUGGAUUUGCUGAAUUAACGUAUGCACGCACGCCCUCUCUCAACCAUCAGAUUUUGUGCAUUCAAAAGGACACUAGGAGAAACCUAAAAAAUUGUGCCUGACAAAUUCACUGUGGGUUUGGUGUGUUUUUCAUCUCUUUGCAGCUUUUGCUCAUCCUGGGGGGCAAUGUGCAUAUGAACGAGAGACACUUUCUCGUCCCAUAGUGAAGUGGGUGGUGAGAUGUGAGUGCAAGAUUGUGUUUCCUAUAGAGAUUAUUGCAAAGUUGUGUCUCUCAUUUGCUGACCACAUCACAUGAACUGAACUGCUAUCCCAGCUGGUACUCGUUGCCAGCCUUGUUUGGGGGCUGAGGGCUGAAUGGGGCUAUAGACACGAGUCUAGGGAGGUGGUUUUUCUAGGGCUGGGUUGAGGCAUGCCACCAGCUUUCCUAUACGGUGCCUCUUCUAUGAGCAGAUGGUUUCCGUUUCCAGGGCUUUUAAUCCAAGGGCCUUUCAGCAGCACUAAAUUCACAUGCUUUCUGCCCCCCCCCCCCACCUCAUCCUUAAACUCAUAUGGCUGAAUUCAUGACAGCUAUAGUUUCCAUGCCAAUCAGGUGUGAGAUCAUAAUUCAGCAUUAUGGCUUCACUCCUGGACAAUGCAUAAGCAAGAGUUUGGACAAGGAUGCAGAUGAUCUGUUCAGGUGCUAAUAAUGACAGAAAACAGAAGGCAUAAUAUUGCAGAGGAAAGGGAAAAGGCUGCAUAGACAGUUCAGAGCAAUAAUCUCCAUCACAAAUCGCCUCUCUGUGAAUCAUCCCUGAACAGAGGUAAUAUUCCUUAUUAUUCACCCAACAGCUCAGAUGCUCGAUUCUCAGAUUAUGCGUUGCUGUCAUAUGAUGUGAGUGGAUUGCCUGCCGUCCCCCAGAUACCUUGCUUAGCGCUGGUGCUGAUCUGUGCCUGAGCAUGAAAAACUCCUCCAACUCAAAAAGCAACAGGCUUUCUGGGCUGACCUUUUUUGCUGCAUGUGUGUGUUCACUACAUUGCACUACCUGAUUGAGAUCGUCAAACAUCUCGGCCACUUAUUUUCUGGAUUUUUAAAAAAAUGCCCGCUGCUAAAGAAUGAAUAAAGAAAGUGAUCCGUGAAAAUGUCUUGCAAAUCAAAUGUAUUUGGUGAUGGCAGGUGGGGUGGGGAGGGCUAAAUAUUUGACCCUCUGUAACCAGCAUAGUCUUUUAUGAUUUUAAUUAUUCCAUUUGGGUCUCAGGCCAGAUUCUGGGCUGAUACGAGUGAACAGAGGCGUGUUCGCUCCAGCGGCAUCGGGCCAAUUUUCACCUGCUGAACGUCUGGCCCAUUCUGUUUUAAAGCUCGGCUCUUUAAAACUGGCACAUUAACUCUGGAAUUUUCCAGUUUGCUAUUAAAGCUUAAUUUUUUUUUUUUAUCUCCCUACUGCUGUUUAGGAGAAAGAAACAAGUCUGUGCAGGAAUCUAAAUCACCUGGAAAAUGGCUGGGCUGGUAACUGGAGCUCGUGCUGAAUUUUUCAGGGCCGGAUUCUCAGCAGCGUAUAUGGGAGAAGCUGCUUGGAUUUCAGUGAGGAUGAGCUGAUUUACCCCACUCCUGAGCUAUUAUCUCUCAGGUUCCUAUUUGAACAGCGAAGCAGGUUGGCAUGCAGGAUCGGUGUCGCUCGCUCUAUUGUGCUGGCCUAGCCUAAUUUUCUUCCAUUCGCCCUGCAACGGGCUGUGCAGCGCGCUCCAGAAAACGUCUCUCUGCCUUCCCCUUGCUGGCGUGCUGUUGCAACUGCCCAGUUUCAAUGCCCCGGUGAAGGGGGCUAUUAAAGCGUUAAUGGGAUUUUCAUUUGCAGCUGGAGCAAAACAGAAUGAGGUCUCGUUUUCAAACAAUGAGCUGUUUGUAUAAUAUGCAAUGCCAGCCACAUCUGGGACAAGCAGACUAAUGAGAUUCUGGCAUUCAAGACAUGGAGGGGCCCAAGUCAGACAACACCUGUAGCUCUGUACAAAUCAACAGUGGUUUGCAGGGCUUGUGGGGGGUCUCUAGAAAAACAGCUACUAGGCAUGGUUUCUGCCAUGGAUUUGGACAUUGCUUGGUUUAAGUAUUAUGGUGCAAUGGGAAGAAGAGUCUGGCAAGGCUUUAUGAUAAUGACUGUCACUGAACCUGCCACUUGCCCUAGUUAUAUAGCACUAUAUUGCUAUUAGGACAUUUCCUUUCCCUAUUACUAUGUGAUAGCAGAGAGAGAGCCUCCCCUCCUCAAAGCAAUGCUGUGAAAUGGCUAUUGUUCCCUACACCAGAUGCAGCUGCAAGGGGAAACAAAAAUCCUGCCUGUCCAUCAUAUCUUUGGGACGUUUCAGAAGCGAAGGUGCACUAUCAAGGCAAGACAACAUUGCUAGGCGCUGCACGCUGAACACUUUGCGAACCACAAGGAUUUUACAGGGAAGUGUAGGCAAUGCCUAUCUCGAACUAUACCGCUUCAGGCUCCUCUUUCAUUUGUCUAGCCAGCCUUUACUCAGCUGCUUACUCAUGAAAGACAUAUAAUUUAAGGGGCUUUCAUCUGGAUGAUUUCGGAGGGAGUGUCACUGGUAUCGGAUCCAACUUUCACCUGGCACCAUGCAGCUCCUGUGCCAAGGCAGAUCUUGUUCCUCUGGGUUAAUGACUGAAAAGAGUUCACCUAAGCUGUUCUCCUAUCCCUUCACUUAAAGCAGGGGCUGCUUUGUCCCCAAUAUCUUUUUACAUGUUUGUCAGCAACUCCAGUCUCCCAAGGGGAAAGGGUGGCUAAAAGACGGGUGAAGCCUCUCCUAGCAGCUCAAGGCAGACUCGCCAGGUUGAUUUCCCAGCCUGAUGCUUCCCAUUGCACAUGCCUGAGCCUUCCCUGUAAACCCGCAGGUCUUGCAGCACCAUGUGAACUCAUGGUACCAGCACACAGGGCCUGCCUCUCUUCAGGUCUGCCUGUGAGAUAUUCACAGUGCUCCUUUAGUCUCUUGGCAGUAUGCUUGCCUGCACUGGCAUGGCUCUUCUUAAUCACCGCUCCCCAUUCCCUACUGGCAUGGCUCUUCUUAACCAUUGCCCCCCAUUCCCUAGAAGUGUCCUAUGGGAAAGACGAUGCAGAUGGAUUAUUAAUGCUGACUUUUGUUUGGUGGGGAAUGAUACCCUAGUGAGCUGUCCUCCAUGCACAGUCAAGUCAAGUCAGUCCCGAGGCCGCUGCAACCGUUUGGGGCAUGUUAGAUGCUGUGCAUCAUUGAUGACUCUUUGGGCAAAGUGACCUGGUGGUGCCCAUCUCCUCUCCAGGUACCCCUAUGUAUAGCCUGACUCAAAUGAUUCCCUACAGGGAGGUGGGGAGUAGGGUGGCAUUUGUCUGUAUGGGCCUAGGCAUUUUGCAAGGGAUAAAGUGCACGAAUCAGAAAUAGGACGCAGGACCGGAGGGGGCUGGACUCAAUGAUCUCACGAGAUCCCUUCCAGCCCCUAACGUCUAUGAAUCGCAGUCAAGUGUGCAACCCCCAAACUAUCCCAUUAUCAACACAAUAGUCAUGGGCUUGACUGCCAUCAUCGUGACCGUAGGUAGCAGGACGCUGCAAAGUGCUGCUUGUUGACUUCCCAGAGAAGGCCUUAGUAAUCCUUAGGUGGAUGAACAGGAUUUGAGUCCAGUUCGACUGCAGAUGAUGAAAACCCCAAGUUUCCUCAGCAACAAUGACCCAUGACAGCUGAGAAACCUAGAAGGAUACAGGAGGAGGGGAGAUCAUCAAGGAGAAGAGUUAAGUAAGAUCUCCAAAUGGACGAGCCUCAGGCUACCGGCCCUUGAAGAAAUCCAGGGAAUUUGGGCUAUAGGUUGCAAUGGUGCCAGGGAUUUUUUAUACCCAUGGUGCCUAGUCCAGCAGGGAAACCCAGCAGCAGUAAGAGCAGCACAACCCUGGAUUACCCUGGAUGCAGCCCCGAAGGGCAUAUCAGUUUUCAGGCAUUUAGCAGUUUUUCCAAGUUUUCUCUCAGUGAUUUGCCAAAGAAGUUUCUGCCACAUUGAAUCUGGUGAUUAAAGGUCUCAGUGCUCAUGCAUUUGGCUGGCAAGAUGAGUCCCCCUAUUUCAUUUCCCUUUUUUACCUCCUCUCACACUCCUUUUUAACCCCUGGCAAAACUCUAUCCUUGUAUAGGUGGGCAUACUUGUAUGAAUACAUCCACACAUAUCCCUCCUACGCGUGUUGGCAGGGAUGGCUAUCCGCGUAUGGCUAUACUGGUGCAGGCAAUUAUUUCCACUGGAGGUCCACUUAAUGAGUUUUGUGUUUGCAUGCAUGGAUAAAGCCGCUAUACCCAUGCAUUGCCUCCUUUUAGCUUGCAUUAGGGCAUUGCAACCAUACUUUUCUAUGGUUCUGGGAUUUGCAAUCCUACUUUUUUUCCUGAUUUCUAGGGUGAUAUUUGCCUUUUGACCCCAGAACCCCUCUUACCCCCCCCAAAAUGGUCCAAUGGAUAAGCAAAGCAUGGAGAAAGGAAAAAACCAGCAGGCAAACAGAGCUCUAGGGAUGAAAACAAAUGACAGCCAGGCUGGC